This 599-nucleotide ribosomal RNA is filed under the name Xanthoria parietina. RNAcentral describes it as "partial large subunit ribosomal RNA". It matches the Rfam family "Eukaryotic large subunit ribosomal RNA", at positions 351 to 968 of the family's 3401-position model. Lineage: Eukaryota; Fungi; Ascomycota; Lecanoromycetes; Teloschistales; Teloschistaceae. The record is from RNAcentral.
GAGUGAUCGAAAGAUGAAAAGCACUUUGGAAAGAGAGUCAAAAAGUACGUGAAAUUGUUGAAAGGGAAGCGCUUGCAACCAGACCUGCCCGCGGGUGAUCAGCCGUCCUUCGGGGCGGUGCACUCACCCGCGAUCAGGCCAGCAUCGGUUCGGGCGGCCGGAUAAAGGCCUUGGGAACGUGGCUCCCCUCGGGGAGCGUUAUAGCCCAGGGUGCAAUGCGGCCCGCCCGGACCGAGGACCGCGCUUCGGCUAGGAUGCUGGCGUAAUGGUUGUAAGCGGCCCGUCUUGAAACACGGACCAAGGAGUCGACCAACCGUGCGAGUGUUUGGGCGUCAAACCCACACGCGCAAUGAAAGUGAACGGAGGUGGGAACCCCUCGCGGGGCGCACCAUCGACCGAUCCAGAUGUCUUCGGAUGGAUUUGAGUACGAGCAUGGCUGGUCGGACCCGAAAGAUGGUGAACUAUGCCUGGAUAGGGUGAAGCCAGAGGAAACUCUGGUGGAGGCUCGCAGCGGUUCUGACGUGCAAAUCGAUCGUCAAAUUUGGGCAUAGGGGCGAAAGACUAAUCGAACCAUCUAGUAGCUGGUUCCAGCCGAAGUC